This 108-nucleotide ribosomal RNA is filed under the name Caerostris darwini. The record is from RNAcentral. Lineage: Eukaryota; Metazoa; Arthropoda; Arachnida; Araneae; Araneidae.
AACGGCCGUACCAUGCUGAAUAUACCGGUUCUCGUUAGAUCACCGAAGUUACAUCAUUGGGCGGUCAGUACUUGGGUGGGUGACCAUCUGGGAACACUGCGUGCCGUU